UAGGGAAUCUUCCGCAAUGGACGCAAGUCUGACGGAGCAACGCUGCGUGAGUGAAGAAGGAUUUCGGUUCGUAAAACUCUGUUGUUAGAGAAGAACAGCGCAUAGAGUAACUGUUAUGCGUGUGACGGUAUCUAACCAGAAAGCCACGGCUAACUACGUGCCAGCAGCCGCGGUAAUACGUAGGUGGCAAGCGUUGUCCGGAUUUAUUGGGCGUAAAGCGAGCGCAGGCGGUUAGAAAAGUCUGAAGAGAAAGGCAGUGGCUCAACCAUUGUAGGCUUUAGAAACUGAUUAACUUGAGUGCAGUAGGGGAGAGUGGAAUUCCAUGUGUAGCGGUGAAAUGCGAAGAUAUAUGGAGGAACACCGGUGGCGAAAGCGGCUCUCUGGUCUGUAACUGACGCGGAGGCUCGAAAGGGUGGGGAGCGAACAGG
RNAcentral lists this ribosomal RNA (428 nucleotides) under Bacteroidota bacterium. RNAcentral's name for it is "Bacteroidetes bacterium partial 16S ribosomal RNA". It matches the Rfam family "Bacterial small subunit ribosomal RNA", at positions 355 to 776 of the family's 1533-position model. Lineage: Bacteria; Pseudomonadati; Bacteroidota. The record is from RNAcentral.